GAUGAACGCUGGCGGCGUGCCUAAUACAUGCAGGUCGAACGAAGUCUUCGGACUUAGUGGCGAACGGGUGAGUAACACGUUGGUACCUACCCCGAAGUGGGGAAUAACUGCCCGAAAGGGUGGCUAAUACCGCAUAAUACCGCAAGGUUAAAGCAGUAAUGCGCUUCGGGAGGGGCCUGCGUCCCAUUAGCUAGUUGGUAGGGUAAUGGCCUACCAAGGCGACGAUGGGUAGCUGGAUCGAGAGGUUGACCAGCCACACUGGGACUGAGAUACGGCCCAGACUCCUACGGGAGGCAGCAGUAAGGAAUCUUCCACAAUGGACGAAAGUCUGAUGGAGCAACGCCGCGUGCAGGAUGACGGCCUUCGGGUUGUAAACUGCUUUUAUACGGGAAGAUUAUGACGGUACCGUAUGAAUAAGGACCGACUAACUACGUGCCAGCAGCAGCCGCAG
RNAcentral lists this ribosomal RNA (451 nucleotides) under uncultured bacterium. RNAcentral describes it as "partial 16S ribosomal RNA". It matches the Rfam family "Bacterial small subunit ribosomal RNA", at positions 28 to 523 of the family's 1533-position model. The record is from RNAcentral.